UGGGGAAUAUUGCACAAUGGGCGCAAGCCUGAUGCAGCCAUGCCGCGUGUAUGAAGAAGGCCUUCGGGUUGUAAAGUACUUUCAGCGGGGAGGAAGGGAGUAAAGUUAAUACCUUUGCUCAUUGACGUUACCCGCAGAAGAAGCACCGGCUAACUCCGUGCCAGCAGCCGCGGUAAUACGGAGGGUGCAAGCGUUAAUCGGAAUUACUGGGCGUAAAGCGCACGCAGGCGGUUUGUUAAGUCAGAUGUGAAAUCCCCGGGCUCAACCUGGGAACUGCAUCUGAUACUGGCAAGCUUGAGUCUCGUAGAGGGGGGUAGAAUUCCAGGUGUAGCGGUGAAAUGCGUAGAGAUCUGGAGGAAUACCGGUGGCGAAGGCGGCCCCUGGACGAAGACUGAC
RNAcentral lists this ribosomal RNA (396 nucleotides) under uncultured Enterobacteriaceae bacterium. RNAcentral describes it as "bacterial SSU rRNA". It matches the Rfam family "Bacterial small subunit ribosomal RNA", at positions 355 to 744 of the family's 1533-position model. Lineage: Bacteria; Pseudomonadati; Pseudomonadota; Gammaproteobacteria; Enterobacterales; Enterobacteriaceae. The record is from RNAcentral.